CCCUUCUGACCUUAAUGUCUAUGAGUCUAUGAGAUCUGAAGUAUACCUUGACCUGGGGUAAGUGACUGGCUGUCUUGGGCUGGGAGUAAUCAAACGUGUGAUGGUUUCUGGUUUUAAUAACCUUUCAUAAUUAAGUCCAGUUUGCCUGAAUGGUAAUAUAGGCUGAAGUGUCUGGGGACUGACUGUGGAUCCAUGGUAAGCUAGUAUAACGAUCCAGCAGCAUACAGUUGUUGCUGGUUUUAUUAAAUCUAAUUAUAGAAUAUACCUCCAGUUUGGGGGUGUCUACCCUGUUUUCUGAGAGUCUGACCUGAAAUGGUCUCAGCUGUGACCCAUUCUGGACAUCCUGACAGUGUUAAGUAAGUUAAGUUGCAUGCUAUUUUUCACACCUGGGUGGUGGGUUAGGUGCAUAUUUUCCUUAUGCAAAAUGCAUCUUUGCUUUCCUUUCAGUGCUCAGCUCAUGGCCCAUCUUUGUGUUGCUUAAACACAUGGUAGCAGUGGAGGUGGAGACUGGCACUUUUCAAUACUAUACCAGGGAUGUAAGAUGACAAACAGGAUUACUGGUGACUCCAAGCAGUGCCCAUGGAGGAGGGUAAGGAGUUCACGGACAUGAAGAUUGCAACACAGCUCUGCUGAACCAAGCAUUGUACUUGGCCUCCUGAGUGAUGGCAUAGUGGGCCGUGAAUGCGUGCAUGGAGGACCACGUUGCAGCUUUACAGAUGUCCGGGAUCGGAAUGUGUGCCAAGCGGCCGCCAAGGAUGCCUGCGCUCUAGUCAAGUGGGCUCUAAUGAUCGGCAGUGGCGGGGUCCCUGCCAGCUCGUAAAAAGCCCUUAUGGCAAGAGGUGAUCCAGUUAGAAAUCCUCUGCGUGAACACCAGGAGGCCCUUCAUCCUAUCAGCUUUAGAGAUGAAAAGCUGAUUCGAUCUAUGGAAAGGCUUUGUCCGAUCUAGGUAGAAAGCCAGGGUCCUUCUUAUGUCCAAAGCAUGGAGGUCUCUCUCUUCACUAGCCUCAUGGGGCUUAGGGCAGAAGACCAGAAGGAAGAGGUCCUGGCACAUGUGGAAAGCGGACACCACCUUGGGAAGGAAAGCCGGGUGGGGCCAGAGCUGGACCUUGUCCUUAUAGAAGACCGAGUACAGCGGUUCUGAGGUCAGGACACGCAGCACGGAAACUCGCCUUGCCGAUGUCACUGCCACCAGGAAAGCUAUCUUCCACGAUAGGUGAGAUAGGGAGUGCGAGGCCAACGGCUCAAAGGGUGGGCCUGUGAGCCUAGACAGAACCAAGUUGAGAUCCCACUGAGGGACCAAACUUGAGGAAAAAGUCUCUCGAGACCUCUGAGGAACCUGACCGUCACUUCAUGGGAGAACACUGUCUGCCCCUGGACGGGCAGAUUAAAGGCGGAGUUGGCCGCCAGAUGCACCUUGAUAGAGGAGUGUGCCAGGCCCCUGGUUCCUCAAAUUAAGCAGGUAGUCUAAGAUUGACUGAACCAAAGAAUGCAAAGGGGAGAUGCCCCGUUCGGUUACCCAGUGGGAAAACUUCAUCCACUUUGCCAGGUAGGUCUGUCUAAUGGAGGGUUUUCUACUUCCCAGGAGGACCUGCUGGACCCCCUCCGAACAGGUCCAUUCCUCAGGGUUCAGCCACGCAGUAUCCACAACGCAAGCUGGAGAGACGUGAGGAUGGGGUGCAAGAGGUGACUGUGGUCCUGUGACAGCAGGAUCUUGCUGAUGAGCAGAAUCAGAGGGAACACGUACAUCAGGCUUCCUGCCCACGGCAGGAGGAAGGCAUUGGAGAGGGAGCCCUUGCCCAGACCCUAUCUGGAGCAGAACUUGUGGCACUUCAUGUUCUGCCUGAUGGCAAACAAAUCCUCUUGGGGAGAUCCCCACCUCUGGAAGGUCAGGCUGGCUACCUGCAGGUGGCGCACCCACUCGUGGUGAGAGGAGAAGUCCCUGCUUCGAUGAUCUGCUAGCAUGUUCCUGGCACCCGGAAGGUGACACGCUUCUAGAUGGAUUGCGUGGCUGAUGCAGAAUUCCCAGAGACGGAGUGCAUCUUGGCAGAGGGCCGAGGAUCGUUCUCCGCCUUGCCUGUUGAUGUAGAACAUCGAGGCUGUGUUGUCUGUGAGGACUCUGACCACUUUACCCAACAGGUGAGGUAGGAAGACUUGCGCAUGCACUGUGCACUACCCUGAGUUCUUUGACAUUUAUGUGUAGCGUCGAUUCCCCUGGGGACCACAUACCUUGGUUUGGAGGGUGCCGAGGUGCGCCCCCCAGCUGAGGUCUGAGGCAUCCGAAACCAACUCAACUGAGUGAGGAGUGCUGAUGAAGGAAACACCUUCCAGGAUUUUCCCGGGGUUGGCCCACCAUUGCAGCAAGGUAAGUACCAUUGCAGGGAUGGUAACCACAUUCUCAAGGUGGUCCCUGGACUGGGAGUAGACCGUUGCCAGCCAUUGCUUCAGGCAUCGCAUAUGUACACGCUGCCAUGUGACCUAGUAGGUGCAGGCAAACUUGGACGUGGUCAGGGGAAAUGCGGAGACUUCCAUGAUAAGGUCAGUCAGUCUCCUGAAUCUCUCGAGUGGCAGGGAUGCUCUGGCAGAGGUUGAGUCGAGCACCGCUCCGAUGAAGUCUAUCCUCUGUACCGGAACCAACGUGGAUUUUUUGUCGUUCACCAACAGACCGAGGCAAAGGUACAUGGCCAGUAGCACCACAUCCCCUUGGACCUGAAGUUGCCCUUGACAAGCCAGUCGUCAGGGACAGGUAUAUCUGGAUACCCCCGACAUCUGAGGUAAGCCACCACCAUCCACGUGCACUUGGUAAAUACCCGCGGUGCUGUCAGUAGGCCAAAUGGAAGGACUGUGAACUGAUGGUGGUUGAGACCUACUGUGAACCAGAGGAAGCAUCUGCGUCCCUCGAAGAUGGCAAUGUGAAAGUACACAUCUUUCAGACCGAAGGCGGCAUACCAGUCUCCCAGAUCCAGGGAGGGGAUGAUGGAGGCCAGGGAGGCCAUGCGUAACUUCAUUUUCACUAAGGAGCAGUUCAAGCCUCAUAGGUCUACUAUGGGCCGCAGUCCACCCUUGGCUUUGGGGAUUAAAAAGUAUCGGGAAUAGAAUCCCUUGUUCUAUACUCCACAGGAACUACCUCCACUGCACCCAGCGGCAGUAGACCAUCUACCUCCUGCGUGAAAAGGUUCUCAUGAGAAGGGUCCCUGAAGAGGGAUGGGGAGAUGGGUUGGGAAGGGGGGCAGGGGUAGAAAGUAACUGAAGAGUGUAACCCUGUGCCACCAUAUUGAGGACCCAUCGGUUCGAUGUUAUAGACGCCCACACAGGGCGUAGGGAAGUAAGGUGAUUGGUAAAUAGAGGGGAGGAAGGAUCUGGGGAACAGUCUGGUAGGUCACCCUCGGGUGUAACCUCAAAACAGGCGCUUGCCUGUCUGCUUACUGCGGGUUGAGCCCGACUAGGAUGUAGAUGGGGGUUGGUGGCCAGGGCGCCUCUUGUAGCCCCUGGAUUUUUUGGUGGGGAAGCUCCUGGCAAGGGCAGCUCCCCUGGCUAUGAGGUUGCUACAGCUUAAACUGCUUGCAGGAAGGGCCGGGGAUGUACAGGCACAGUGUUUUCAGGAUCGUGCGGGAAUCUUUCAAGCCAUGGAGUUUAUUGUCCGUCUGUUCUGCGAACAGGGCCUGCCUGUCAAAAGGGAGGUGUUGCAUUGACUGCUGAGCCUCUGAGGAAAGACCAGAGAGGAGCAGCCAACCAGAUGGCUGAUGCUAUGGUAUGGGCAGUGGUGUCCACCGCGUCUGACGCUGCCUAGAGAGCUGCUCUGGCUGCAGUCGAGCUGUCAUCCAGGAUCACCCGGAACUCCUUCCUAGAAGCCUCAGGAAGGGCGCUCUCCAACUUGGUCAUGGCCUGCCACAUAUUAAAAUCAUAGCAGCCUAGUAAGGCCUGAUGGUUGGCCACCGGCCACUGUUGACUGGAGGAUGAAUCAACUUUAUGCCCACACAAGUCUAGUCUCCUUGAGUCUUCACUCUUAGGAGUAGCCCCAGAUUGACCCUGUCUCUCCCUGUAGUUGACUGGCUCUACCACUAAGGAAUUGGGAGCAGGAUGGGUAUAAACGAAUUCAUGACCCUUGAAUGGCAUGAAGUACUUGCGCUCUGCCCUCUUGGAGAUUGG
This is a long non-coding RNA of Trachemys scripta elegans, 4146 nucleotides long. RefSeq lists it as uncharacterized. The record is from RefSeq and is a predicted model, not a curated record. The transcript has 3 exons. NCBI's taxonomy places the organism in Eukaryota, Metazoa, Chordata, Testudines, Emydidae.